CCUGGUGGCUAUAGCGUCGGUGUCCCACCCGAUCCCAUUCCGAACUCGGCCGUGAAACCCGACUGCGCCAAUGGUACUAUCGCUCAAGCGAUGGAAGAGUAGGUCGUCGCCAGGCAUUGAAGCCCGUGCAACAUGCAA
This 138-nucleotide ribosomal RNA is filed under the name Sphingomonas sp. PP-CE-1G-424. Lineage: Bacteria; Pseudomonadati; Pseudomonadota; Alphaproteobacteria; Sphingomonadales; Sphingomonadaceae. The record is from RNAcentral.